GCAAAAGUGAAGACACCAGCCAGCAGAGACAUGAGUGGGAGGAGUGAAUGAGGCAAGCAUGGAUACAGACUGAACUGAGACCUGAGGUCUGAUGGUGACCAUGGAAAUCCCUAAAAGUUACAGAAACAUCCUAAAGUGAAUAAUAGACAUGAAUCUUUCUACCAACUUUGUUAGCAUCAAGUCUCCGUGGUGAAUGAAGAACAGAAAUAUUCUGCCAACAGCACUGUUUCAUCAUGAGAAUGUUGCACUCAAAACACUUUAAAUCAAGGCUACAACCCCACCUUUAAAGAGUUUUAUUUGAUUAAUGAUAAGUAGAACAUUGAUUAACAAAUUUGAAAAAGAUUAUUCUUGAUCAUUUUCAUGACGGCAUUUGACAAAAUGUAAGAUUUAUUACUUCUUUCACAAUUGAUUACUGCAUUAUGCUUUUAUUGUGUAAAUUACUUUGAACUGUCUUGUUGCUGAAAUGUGCUAUACGAUUAAACUUGACUUGACGACACAAUCAUGCACUGUUUUGU
Molecule: long non-coding RNA, 515 nt
Organism: Xiphophorus couchianus (Monterrey platyfish)
Lineage: Eukaryota; Metazoa; Chordata; Actinopteri; Cyprinodontiformes; Poeciliidae
Exons: 3
Source: RefSeq, a predicted model, not a curated record